UCUUGAAUUCCUUGUUUCUAUUAUUAUCAAUAUUUACAUCCCAUGAUUGCUCAUAGAUUUACUAUUUGUUUCACGUGAUUCUUUUUAGAAAUGAUCAAAUCGAAGCUAUCUCUACCCGGCUUCCAGUUGACAAGGCUGACCUGAAAAAUUUCUUUCCCAAGUCUUGGUGUGAUCGCUAUGGUGAUGUCGUGUUAAAUGUGGUCAAAAAAGAAUUCAAGGACCAUGUUGGAGAAAUGGAGGGUUUGAGAAAUGCUGCCAGGGAGAAACAGAACGGCUCCAAAAGAUGGGCAACAUUCGAUGAUGAUGAAAACUGUCACCCAAAUCUUUUUGCUCCUCAGGAAAAUUCAUUUACAACGAAGCAAGCAAAGCAUAGUAGCCCUUUGAAGGAUGAUCGCGCUUACAAGUGCUUCAAAAAUAAUCCUUUCUUUCCGGAUUAUGACCAAACCAGGUUCGAUGGGAAUAAGCAGAGACCAGAAUCGGCAAAUAUUCAAGACCAGAAUCCCUUCUGGAGACCAAGGCAUGGCUACUCCAUGUUGGGUUAGAUGAAAACUAGAGUCCCAGUUCAUUUUAAUGCUAUUUGGGUUAUUUGCAUCAAGGAUCUAUUAUUGAAGAACAUUGUUCUUCAAAUAGAUUCUUCUGUUGUUUUACUUGUAUUCUUUAUGGGAUUUACUCCAUAUGUGCAGUAAAUUUGAAGGGUAUUAUGCUCUAAGGCAAUAACAGCCACUGUUAACUGCAAUUUUAA
Non-coding RNA from Camellia sinensis, 742 nucleotides. The record is from RefSeq and is a predicted model, not a curated record. Lineage: Eukaryota; Viridiplantae; Streptophyta; Magnoliopsida; Ericales; Theaceae.